ACCGCUGCGAACGCUGCGCGCGGAAAAAUCUGUGUUCGGUGUUCGGAGGUUUCGUGAGUUUCGUUCCUGACUUCGCGUACACACUCGCGCCUUCGCACCUCACACAGCUGUUGCGGACGGGCAGCGGUAUGAAGGGUGCUUCGCAAACGUUACGGCAAUGCUAGAAAUUUGUGCCGGAGCUUUUACUUAUUGAGGAGUGCUGGAACUUUUGUGUGCUGCAUGUGCGGACAGGCCUUCAGAGUUUGCAGCAAAGCAAUCAGAAAAUUGUGAAACACCUGUCUCAUCUCAUGCGUGAAGACCUGACUUCGGCAUGUCACUACCAGGAGCAUACGAGACUAGAGAAACCUCACAUGAAGAAAAUGCGCCCGGCACACACAUCACUCAUGGGGACCAAUCAAUGCGGUCAUACAGUUCUAUUGAAGGCCUUGGAAACUGCACUACGAAAUCAAAUCGGAAGAUAUUUGAGCCCUCUGACCAAGCAUACUUUCAACAGAAGAUUGAGGUUCCAUAUACAGGGGAGACAUCCUUCAGCUGGCGCAAACUGUGGGCCUUCACGGGGCCAGGAUUCCUGAUGAGCAUAGCAUACCUGGACCCGGGCAACAUUGAGUCAGACCUGCAAUCUGGGGCCCUGGCUGAGUACAAGCUUAUGUGGGUGUUGCUGUCGGCUACUCUGCUGGGCCUGAUGAUGCAGCGUCUGAGUGCUCGUCUGGGUGUUGUGACAGGCUUGCAUCUGGCUGAAAUGUGCCGGCGUGGCUACCCUCGUUUUCCUCGUAUCUUGUUGUGGAUUAUGAUUGAAGUGGCUGUCGUUGGUUCAGACAUGCAAGAGGUCAUUGGCACUGCCAUCGCCAUUUUCCUCCUUUCAGGUGGACGGGUUCCACUGUAUGCGGGUGUGCUGAUCACAAUAAUAGACACAUUUACGUUCUUGCUGUUGGACAAGUACGGCCUGCGUAAACUUGAAGCUUUCUUUGGGUUCCUCAUCCUCGUCAUGGCAGUCACUUUCGGAUAUGAGUACGUGCGAGUGGCCCCUGACCAGGUACGAGUGGUGGAGGGCCUGUUUGUUCCCUGGUGCUCACAUUGCGACAGCCGGGCCCUCUUGCAGGCAGUGGGCAUUGUGGGCGCUGUCAUCAUGCCGCACAAUCUUUACCUCCACUCUGCACUUGUGAAGUCACGAGAUGUAGACCGUGCUGACAAGGUCCAAGUGCGGGAAGCCAACAAAUACUUCUUUAUUGAGGCCUGUAUUGCACUCCUCGUCUCCUUUAUCAUCAACAUCUUCGUCAUGGGUGUCUUUGCCCAUGGACUCUUCGGCCGCACUAACCUUGACAUUAGGGAUCAAUGCAUGGGAACUGAGUUCCAGGAUGUCUUUGCUAACAACACGAAUCCUGUGGAUGUGGACAUAUAUAAGGGUGGUGUCUACCUGGGCUGUGCAUUUGGUAUGUUCCCACUAUAUGUCUGGGCCAUAGGCAUUCUGGCUGCAGGACAGAGUUCCACUAUGACCGGGACAUACUCGGGCCAGUUCAUCAUGGAGGGAUUCCUGAACCUGCCCAUCAGUCGGUGGAUGCGGGUGCUCAUCACACGGCUCAUUGCCAUUGCGCCCACCAUAUUGUGCGCUGUCUUUGGCAACAUUGAGCAGCUUUCUGGGAUGAAUGACCUGCUCAACGCACUCAUGAGCCUGCAGCUGCCCUUCGCUCUUAUUCCAACCCUCACCUUCACGACGUCGGCGGCAUUCAUGGGCGAAUUCAAGAAUGGAACGUUGACCAAAAUAGCAGCUAGCCUGCUGUCGAUGGUUGUGAUUGGCAUCAACUUGUUCUUUGUGAGCAACUUCGUGCGUGAGAACCUCCCAUCUCACUGGGCCAUCUACCUUGCUGUGGCACUGUUCGGGCUCCUGUACUUGGGCUUCAACCUUUACCUGUUGGCCCGCCUUUUGGUUGUGUUUGGCUGCACGUCACUGCUCCAACUUCCUUUGAUUGGCCCGCACCUCAGGGAGCGCAGUGACCGAAUGCUAUUUAAUGACUCAUCUGAAACAGACGUAUCAUCAUCUCCUGGGGAGCUCAUACCAGUUAGUACCCACUUGUGAAUGAUUGCAUCCUCUAUCGACGAAUCCAUGAAUGGACAAAUUAGGUUGUUGAACUUGCAUUGAAGAGUGUUGGUGGCGUUUCACCAACAGCCACGAAGUACAGCAUGAUUUCAUGCUGCCCUUUUUAUAUGAUCUGUGACUUGAAUCUAUUUGCACAAUUUUAUUGACGUGACUCAAAUCAUUGAUGCAAGAAUAUUUAUUAGUAGCAGCGUUCCUAUGCAACUACAGGAACACUGUGUACAGUCAAUAUAGUAAACUGUCGUGUUCUCAUAAUGUGAAAAGGCUAUUUUGACAAAAAGUUUGCAAUAAUAUAUGGUACUUACUAUUUUAGUACAGUUGUUGCUAGUUGGGAUGUUUAAUAAAGCAUGGAAUUGUGUAAAUGUAUUUAUUUUUAAUAAAGUUAUGACGUUGAUGUUUUUAAAAAAGA
RNA transcript from Dermacentor albipictus, 2501 nucleotides. It is a transcript of the gene named solute carrier family member malvolio, with no coding region annotated. NCBI's taxonomy places the organism in Eukaryota, Metazoa, Arthropoda, Arachnida, Ixodida, Ixodidae. The record is from RefSeq and is a predicted model, not a curated record.